UGGCUCAGAACGAACGCUGGCGGCGUGCCUAACACAUGCAAGUCGAGCGCGAAAGGGGCAACCCGAGUAGAGCGGCGCACGGGUGCGUAACACGUGGGUAAUCUGCCCUGGAGACUCGGAUAACCACCCGAAAGGGUGGCUAAUACGGGAUAAGCCCACGGCGUCUUCGGACGCCGAGGGAAAAGGUGGCCUCUACAUGUAAGCUACCACUUCAGGAUGAGCCCGCGGCCCAUCAGCUAGUUGGCGGGGUAAUGGCCCACCAAGGCAACGACGGGUAGCUGGUCUGAGAGGACGAUCAGCCACACUGGAACUGAGACACGGUCCAGACUCCUACGGGAGGCAGCAGUGGGGAAUUUUGCGCAAUGGGCGAAAGCCUGACGCAGCAACGCCGCGUGUGUGAUGAAGGUCUUCGGAUUGUAAAGCACUUUCGACCGGGACGAAAAAGCGGGUGCUAAUCAGCCUGCCUUGACGGUACCGGGAGAAGAAGCACCGGCUAACUCUGUGCCAGCAGCCGCGGUAA
This 520-nucleotide ribosomal RNA is filed under the name uncultured delta proteobacterium. RNAcentral describes it as "bacterial SSU rRNA". It matches the Rfam family "Bacterial small subunit ribosomal RNA", at positions 20 to 523 of the family's 1533-position model. The record is from RNAcentral. Lineage: Bacteria; Deltaproteobacteria.